GCCGGAUGUGGUGGUGCACAUCUGUAAUUCCAGCUACUGGGGAGGCUGAGGCAGGAGUAUUGCUUGAACCCAGGAGGUGGAGGUUGCAGUGAGCCGAGAUCGCACCACUGCACUCCAGCCUGGGAGACAAAGCGAGACUCUGUCUCAA
RNAcentral lists this non-coding RNA (148 nucleotides) under Nomascus leucogenys (northern white-cheeked gibbon). The record is from Rfam by way of RNAcentral. Lineage: Eukaryota; Metazoa; Chordata; Mammalia; Primates; Hylobatidae.